AUGCGAUACGUAAUGUGAAUUGCAGAAUUCCGUGAAUCAUCAAAUCUUUGAACGCAUAUUGCACUCUAUUUCGGUAGAGUAUGCCUGUUUGAGAAUCUAUAAUUUAUACCGCCUAGUGGUUACCUUUACCGGUAGCUAUUAGUGCAGUGAUUUGAGGUUUCUCUCCCCAGAGUACCUUUAAAUAGAUUGCUUUUACGCAGGUUAGGGUGUUUGACCCUUUGCUUUGUUGCAGAAACGUAUUCGAAUGGGGCUUUUAGCUUCUCCUUAUGCUUACUAUGUGACUGCAGAGGUUAGCACUGACUGGCUUAAAAGUUCAUAACCUUUGAACCUGCCGCAAGGUUGGUUGAACCAUGGUCUCAAAUCAGGUAGGAUUACCCGCUGAACUUAA
This 388-nucleotide unclassified non-coding RNA is filed under the name uncultured Chytridiomycota. Its description in RNAcentral is "partial contains 5.8S ribosomal RNA, internal transcribed spacer 2, and large subunit ribosomal RNA". The stretch from base 1 to 98 matches the Rfam family "5.8S ribosomal RNA", at positions 53 to 154 of the family's 154-position model. The record is from RNAcentral. Lineage: Eukaryota; Fungi; Chytridiomycota.